GUUUGAUCCUGGCUCAGGAUGAACGCUAGCGGCAGGCCUAAUACAUGCAAGUCGAACGAGGUUUAGUAGCAAUACUAAACUUAGUGGCGCACGGGUGCGUAACGCGUAUGCAACCUACCUUUAACAGGGGGAUAGCUCCCGGAAACGGGAAUUAAUACCGCAUAAUAUAAUUGAAUGGCAUCAUUUGGUUAUUAAAUUUACGAAGGUUAAAGAUGGGCAUGCGUCUGAUUAGCUAGUUGGUGAGGUAACGGCUCACCAAGGCGACGAUCAGUAGGGGACCUGAGAGGGUGAUCCCCCACACUGGCACUGAGAUACGGGCCAGACUCCUACGGGAGGCAGCAGUAGGGAAUAUUGGGCAAUGGUCGCGAGACUGACCCAGCCAUGCCGCGUGAAGGAAGAAGGCUUUCUGAGUUGUAAACUUCUUUUAUCUGGGAAUAAACGAUCCUUGCGAGGAGCAUUGAAGGUACCAGAUGAAUAAGCACCGGCUAACUCCGUGCCAGCAGCCGCGGUAAUACGGAGGGUGCAAGCGUUGUCCGGAUUUAUUGGGUUUAAAGGGUGCGUAGGCGGUUUAAUAAGUCAGUGUUUAAAGUCUGCAGCUUAACUGUAGGAAUGGCAUUGAUACUGUUAAACUUGAGUAAAGUUGAGGUAGGCGGAAUUGAUGGUGUAGCGGUGAAAUGCAUAGAUAUCAUCAAGAACAUCGAUUGCGAAGGCAGCUUACUAAGCUUUAACUGACGCUGAGGCACGAAAGCGUGGGGAUCAAACAGGAUUAGAUACCCUGGUAGUCCACGCCGUAAACGAUGAUUACUCGAUGUUGGCGAUAUUACAGUCAGCGUCUUAGCGAAAGCGUUAAGUAAUCCACCUGGGGAGUACGACCGCAAGGUUGAAACUCAAAGGAAUUGACGG
RNAcentral lists this ribosomal RNA (903 nucleotides) under uncultured bacterium. RNAcentral describes it as "bacterial SSU rRNA". It matches the Rfam family "Bacterial small subunit ribosomal RNA", at positions 11 to 916 of the family's 1533-position model. The record is from RNAcentral.